This 269-nucleotide ribosomal RNA is filed under the name uncultured prokaryote. RNAcentral describes it as "partial 16S ribosomal RNA". It matches the Rfam family "Bacterial small subunit ribosomal RNA", at positions 524 to 792 of the family's 1533-position model. The record is from RNAcentral.
UACGGAGGGGGCGAGCGUUGUUCGGAUUCAUUGGGCGUAAAGGGGGCCUAGGUGGCAAGGUAAGUCGGAUGUGAAAUCCCACGGCUCACCCGUGGAACUGCGUUCGAAACUGCCUCGCUUGAGUACGGGAGAGGAGAGUGGAAUUCUCAGUGUAGCGGUGGAAUGCGUAGAUAUUGAGAAGAACACCGGUGGCGAAGGCGACUCUCUGGCCCGUUACUGACGCUGAAGCCCGAAAGCCAGGGGAGCGAACGGGAUUAGAUACCCCGGUA